UACCUUGCAGCCUUGGACGCUUAACAACAGAAUAAAGCCCCCGGCUAUUCGAUCAGCAGCCGGGUUAAUUCGAAGGCAUGCGGAGCACUACUCCGAAUCUACUGGACGUAAAGCGCACGCAGGCGGUUUGUUAAGCUUGGAUUUGAAAAGCCCCGGACUCAACCGCGAUGGUCAUUAGGACCUGGCAGACUAGAGUCCUGGAGAGGGGAGUGGAAUUCCAGGUGUAGCGUGAAAUGCGUAGAUAUCUGGAGGAACAUCAGUGGCGAAGGCGACUCCCUGGCCAAUGACUGACGCUCAUGUGCGAAAGUGUGGGUAGCGAACAGGAUUAGAUACCCUGGUAGUCCACUCCGUAAACGCUGUCUACUAGCUGUGUGUGCCUUUAAAUCGUGCGUAGCGAAUCUAACGCGCUAAGUAGACCGCCUGGGGAGUACGGCCGCAAGGUUAAAACUCAAAUGAAUUGACGGGGGCCCGCACAAGCGGUGGAGCAUGUGGUUUAAUUCGAUGCAACGCGAAGAACCUUACCUACACUUGACAUGCAGAGAACUUUCUAGAGAUAGAUUGGUGCCUUCGGGAACUCUGACACAGGUGCUGCAUGGCUGUCGUCAGCUCGUGUCGUGAGAUGUUGGGUUAAGUCCCGCAACGAGCGCAACCCUUGUCCUUAGUUGCCAGCAUUAAGUUGGGCACUCUAAGGAGACUGCCGGUCACAAACCGGAGGAAGGUGGGGAUGACGUCAAGUCAUCAUGGCCCUUACGUGUAGGGCUACACACGUGCUACAAUGGCAUUUACAGAGGGAAGCGAGACAGUGAUGUGGAGCGGACCCCUUAAAGAAUGUCGUAGUCCGGAUUGGAGUCUGCAACUCGACUUCAUGAAGUCGGAAUCGCUUGUAAUCGCAGGUCAGAAUACUGCGGUGAAUACUUCAAGGGCCUCUGUA
RNAcentral lists this ribosomal RNA (931 nucleotides) under uncultured Alteromonas sp. RNAcentral's name for it is "bacterial SSU rRNA". It matches the Rfam family "Bacterial small subunit ribosomal RNA", at positions 456 to 1385 of the family's 1533-position model. Lineage: Bacteria; Pseudomonadati; Pseudomonadota; Gammaproteobacteria; Alteromonadales; Alteromonadaceae. The record is from RNAcentral.